Molecule: ribosomal RNA, 253 nt
Filed under: uncultured bacterium
Lineage: Bacteria
Description: partial 16S ribosomal RNA
Rfam family: Bacterial small subunit ribosomal RNA
Source: RNAcentral
UACGAAGGGAGCUAGCGUUACUCGGAAUAACUGGGCGUAAAGCGUAUGUAGGCGGAACUACAAGUCAGAGGUGAAAUCCCGGGGCUCAACCCCGGAAUUGCCUUUGAAACUGUAGUUCUUGAGUAUGACAGAGGAUGGUGGAAUUUCUAGUGUAGAGGUGAAAUUCGUAGAUAUUAGAAAGAACACCGGUGGCGAAGGCGACCAUCUGGGUCAUAACUGACGCUGAGAUACGAAAGCGUGGGGAGCAAACAGG